CAAAUGUAUUUCUCGUUCAGGAAUUGUUCAGCAAAAUAUGGCCAGCACAAGAAAGGAAUGCCAUUGCUAACACCUUCCAUGGUGGAAUUCCAACCACAAUGGCUCAGGAAACAGGCAAUAGAAGGAUGGUUAAGAACCUUCUGCUGAGGUGCCCAGCCGAUCAUCCGUCCUCGAGCAGAAACUCUCUCUUGGAAUCCGUCUGGGUAUCUAUCAUUUGCAUCAGUGGUAAUAUCUGGCCUUACAACCCAUAAAAAUGGUCUGUUGCAGAGUUCUAGUCCAAAUGCCAAUUCUUGAAACUGAACUUGGUCAAGAAUUGUAAAGCUGCCAAAAGCAGCAUAAAGGACAGAGCUCGGUUGCUGCUGGUCUAGCCACUCCAAACAGCUUGAGUCUUCGCGCCAGAAGUGUCCUGCUGAAUUCCCUAGACGGUUGCCAGCCAAAAGUGGUCCUAUUGGCAGAAGUUCCGGAACCACGGUGAAUGCCUCAGACUCGAGCUCAUACGUUGAGUGACACAACUGGAAAUUUACCGCUCUCAUUGCUCUCAUGUUUCUAUCCAGUAAAUCAAAAAUAAUCUUUUGCGUGUUCAAGUCACCAAUAUUUGUCCAAAAACAGUCUCCAGAGUUCAUUUCAGGCAUAUUUGGUGCAAUCCGAAACAUCUGCUUGCUCAUAGGAGUUCCUGAAGUUGAAUACAAACAAAAAAAAUUGCAAUAGCAUAAAAAAAAACUACUACUUUGACAUGCAUCAAAAUUAAAGCCUGCUGGAGGAAAGUCAGGAAUUAAAUGACAUAGAAUCAUACCAUUACUGUCAAUGAUUCCAUCAUCAAUAAGUUUGGGGAUAUGAAAUAGCAAGGCCACUGAUGCUGCUGAUGAAGGCCAAAAGAGAGCCCCCCUGACGUUCAUCUUUUUUGCUACUUCCAUAGACCAAGCCAUGUACCCAUCUGCAAUGAAACAAUCAAGUUUUUCAUCUUCUCUACUGUUGAUAUCUUCUAUGAGCUCCUCCAGCUUCCCCGGCAUAACCUGUAAAACUUUUUCAAAUAGCUUUCCGAAAUCGUUUCUAUCUUCCCAGGGUUCCAUUCCAUCUGGGAUCGAAACCAAACGGAUUUGCUCCCCAAGAUCAUUCUUUCCCUCCAAUGAUUCCAUUAUCCGCUUGUGAUCGUAAUCCGUGUUAACAAAUGUGACUCGGAAGCCCUGUUUCGCCAGACAUUGUGAAAACUCCAGUAAAGGAAUCACAUGGCCUUGCGCUGGAAUAGGCAAUACCAAAACAUGUGGACGGUUCAUUUUCUUUUUUAUUUUUACCUCGCUGAUUUGAUUGUUAUGAACUUGGUGCUUUUAUGGGGAUUGGGAGGGGCAGCUCAGUAGCCCAUGCUGGCUUUUCUGUCUUUCUUUCCGUACAUGUCGUGUAUCAUACGUUUUUAAUUUUGAACCUCAAGCUGGUUAUCUUCUUAUCUCCCGUUUUUAAGUUCUUUGUCCAUCUCUUUGUUUUGUUUCCUUCUGCGGUUUGGGUGAUAUGCUUGUUAAUAAAAUUCGUUUAUUAAAUAGCUUAUAAAUAAAUAGAAUAAUAAAUUAUCUUUUUAAUAGAAUUACUUUUUUGCCAUUAAAAUUCAAAAAAUUUUGUUUAAACAUUUUUAAGGUGUAAGGUUAGUUUUGUAAUUAUGAAAUGAUAAUAAGCCAAAAAUAUUAAUAAUAAUAAAGGUAAAGGCUUCAUCACUCAUCAGCCGACCCUUGCUCCACUCUUCAUUUUCCUACCUCCAUUGUUAUUUCUUUUACUUGAAUUUCAAGGACCUGUUUUUUCAUUCCCCAAACAAAAUGCCAAACGAAACACUCCCAAAAAUCAAAUUGUAAACGCAUAUUUAUUUAUUAAACGAGUGAAAUUUGAAUCUUGAGAUUAUAAUUCGUCUAAUAAACAAAUCAAAUCUAAAUUUAUUAAAUUUUGAUUUGAAUUCUAUUAAACAAUUCAUUUUGCUAUCUCUAGAGUUGAUACGCUUUAUGACCUUUGACCGCGCUAAUGAGCUAUGUUUAGAUAAUUUUUUUUAUUGACUACCCAAAUUAAAAUAUUAGAAAAGUUAUAUUAUUAUAAUUUUAUUUUAUUUUUCAAUGCAAAGAUAUUUUUACAUAACUUCUUGUGUUCACAAAGCAUUUCAAGUGAAGGCUUCUAAAGAUUUUCAAAAGUCAAAAGAUGCAGUUUUCUUUUGCUGCUUUUGUCCGCCACGUGGGAAUUAUUGAUCUCAACGUUUUACAGUUUUCUAUUUAACCCCAAGAUUUAUUUAAAAUCUUUAUGAUAUUACAAAUAUAUUAUUAAAAUACAUAUGAUAAUUUAAAAUUUUAAUAUUAUUUUAAAUGUCAAAAGUAAUUUAAUAUUAUUAGUCUACUAGAUAGAUUAUAUUACUUAUAUUAAAUUUGUGUUAAUUACAAAUUUUUAAAGUCAAUUUUCUAAUUAUUCUAGUUAAAGGGUAUUAUGAGCCAAAAAAAAGAUUUUAAUAUCCCAUUUUUUUUAAAAUUUGGGAGUCUUUUUGAUCAAUUCUCCAAAUUUUAGAAGUGUAAGCGUUAUUUUUCCUUCGGUAAAAUCAAAAUUACAUUAAUUCAAAGCAAUGACCAAUAAAAGUGCAAAAGGCACACAAGAAGCUGCUUACAUUUAACUGAAUAUGGGUUAUACUUUCUCAACCAAAAGAGAAAAAAGGAACCAAGAAAAGAGGGUAAAAAUAAAAAAAUCAUACAUGCCUCAAUUAUUUACUUAUAUAGGAUAACCGAUUUGACUAAUUGCGAAAGUUCACUUGCAUUACUUAAGCAAUUUCUUCAUGAGCAUGUUCCUUUAUAAUAAUGCUAGUAUCUAAACCAGACACUGGGGAUCCCUUCUCACUCGCUUCAUGCAAAUGCCCAGCAGCCAUGUCUCCACCAACAUCACUGAUGUCCCCAAAAAUCACAAUAAGAAUCCCCGAUCGUGGCAGCCAAAAAUGAAACCCCAAAAGCAGUGCUCACAUUUCCACUGAUCGCUGAUGCCACAGCAAAGCCAGUACAAGUUCCUAGUGCUUUUACCCACGAGUGCCAUACAGAAAAAGCACCUUCUUUGCCAUGUGGUAACGGAAACCCAGAAGUUGCAUUCUCACAGCAUCUGCUUUGAUAACAUGUUGUAACGGAUGCAGUAGUGUCAUUGAAGAUGAUGGGAAUAUGAAGUAAAUUAUCCAGAAGUAGAGGAAAAGAAAAAAAAUAACCCCUCAGUGAAAAUGCACAUUGAUGAAAAUGAUGACAUGAAAAUUACAAUCAGGCUUGUAAUUGCAUGAGGAUUUUUAAAAAGGGACAGUGAAUAUGAUUCGGGCAUAGAGGAAGUUGCGUUGGUGAUUGCCCCUGGCUCAGUGCGACAAUAUGGAGCAUGCCAACGAGCCAUUUGAGGACCCUGAAAAUGGACACAACCCAGAGGCUAACAAAUGGGCCCUUUUUGUUCCUAAGCAUAUGGUAAGUGAAUGCUGAGAAAAUGGCAGCGCCUAAGCCACCAGCAGCAGUGGCGUAUACCGAGAACAAGCCAGAGGCCCCUCUUCUAGUUGGGGAUUGGCUAAGUUUAAGUGUUGGUCCAGUGUAGCCGCGAGCCAUAAGGCCAAGAUGGCGAGUGUGGGAGGCUGAAGCAACAAUGUAUAAUGCAACAAUAGCUGCAAUAUAAAAUGGGAAGAUGUAUGGGGUUUUAAUGAAGCCAACAGGGAGACAAAAGAGGGAACCGAUGGCAGUUGCAGCCCUAGCAAUGGUCAAGUUGCUUGGAGAUCAAGCCAAGGAAGGGACUAGCAAGAAUUAGGAAUAUAGCCCAUGAAAUUGAAGUCCAUUCCAUUGCUGAGAGAUUCAGAUUAUUCGUUGAUAUUGAUGUGUGUGUUAGUCAAUCAUACCUGCAAUAUAUGAAUAAUAUUUCAUCCUACUAAACAUGGACACAUGCAAAACUGACCCUCUGUCUAGUUUAACUGGCCAUCAAUGCGCUUUAUAUCCGCGGUCACUCAAGUUUAAGUAAUAAUUAAUAAAGAGCAAGAGUUUGGCUAAUGAAUUAAUUAAAGGAGAAUGAAUGAAACUUUAUUCUCACUAAGGUCUAAGAAGUUGUUUUGGUUCUUUGGGUUCGGAUAAAUUUUAAUAGCAUAAUCAGUAAAUCUCUUAGUAUAAUUAUUUUGUAUAUGAAAAUUUCACAUUUACCUUAAACAAUAUUUUUUUUCUUGUCAAUAUUUUGAGCCAAAUGGUAAUUAAGAGUGAGAAAUUCAUUCUCCCAUAAUAAAAUAAAUAUGCAUAAUUGCAUCUUUUACGUUUUUUACUCUUUUCGUGCUAAGAAUCUUGGAAUCAAUUCGAUCUUUAAUCCAAUUUUUUGUGUAAAUUACACUCAUGCGCUUUGUAUAUAUAGAAUUUUGAUUGAAUAAUCUACUAAGUAAUUAUAGAUGUAGCUAGAAAAAGAACUUACAGUUUGAUCUCUCUGAGAAUACAAGCAAUGCCCCUUGGGGUUUGUCUUCAACCUUGAUCAUCAUCAUCAUCAUCAUUUUUAGAGACAAUUUCACUGAUGAUGAGAGGAAAAACAACGGCACAACCGUUGUAACAAUGAAGUGUCCAAAUUUCAAGCUUCGAUGGCUUUUCUCGCAGCCCUGAGUAGGCCGUAGGCCAUAUAAGCUCCCUCGUGUGCCUCAGGCAUGUCUUCAUUCACUUUCUGAUCCUCUACUGAUACCGAUAUUCCUUCAUCAUCACUUAGAACCUCAUGUUUUCUUUCUGCUGCCACCGCUGCUGCCGGUGCUGCCAUAUUCACAUAUUAGUACCAAUUUGAAGGUUGUUUUGUGAAGUUAAAAAAAGGAGCUGAAUUGGCUGCUGCCAUAUUCAAAUUUGAACGGUGAUUAAUUAAUAUUUGCAUGGGCAGCUGGUGCCGACACUUUCAAGAAUUCAAUUUGCCCGACAUAUAUGUGUAAGCCUCGGUUUGUUCAUAUGUACGAAGGUAUUUCGGUAUCAUUCCUUUUAACUUAUUUGUCUUCUCUCUUUCAUAGCAAUGCCAAUUUUUGCAUCGCACUCUGCUACAGCUCAUGCCGAUCAACAUGUUUCAUGUGAUUUCAAUUUUCCUCAUCCUCUCUUUUGCAUAGAACUGAUCGAAUUCCUAGUGUAGAUUCCUUCAUCUGCAGCAAGGCGUUCUGACCAGUGCUGCAAACAUCCAAGAUCCAUGGGUUAAAGCUUGUUGAACGGGGGGCAAUUGAAGUAUUUUUUUCAACAGAAUCUCAUGAAUCUUGAAGGCAAUUUAAUUCAUGGCCUAAUGAUGAAGUAGAAGCAGCUUGAGAAGUGCUUAAUCUUCUCAAAUGCUCUUCAACUUCUGAAGUCUGUGGGUGCGAUCUUGUGGAAAGUUGUUUCAGCGAGUAUGGUAAGAGGCAGCCAUUGCUUUUGUUGCUGUGAAUUAGAAGACUAGAAGUUGAGAUUACCUUGUCCUCAAAUCUCAAUAUAUAUAGCACGAGAUGAGGAUACAAGAGGUAUCUCAUCCUCUUAAAAUAAAACGAAAGAAUAACAUGAUUUCGAGCUUGAUGUAAAUAUUAUAUCGGCUACUUUUAGGCUUAGUCUCCUCCCACACCAGCAUCCUAUCUCAGUAUUUUUAGCCGCAAAUCUCACUAGUAUCUACACAUAAGCUAAUACUAAAUAAACAAAUGUUUCUGAGUGAUCCAUAAAAUAGGCAAUCCUAUACAAGGAUCGCAGCAAUUCUGUUUCCUCUUCUAAAAUGCAAGAGACGCUAAUCCAGUUUGGCUUGCCUCCCUGUAGGAAACAGAGUGGCUGCUGUGAAACUCGUGUGUCCUUGCAGAAUUGAGGCUGCACCUUGAAUACAUGGAUGGGUAGUUAAGUCUCCAAAUUAAAGCACGCCCAGAAAAGAUCUGCAGUGUUCAUUGCAGGUAAAUUUGGUGCCAAAUGAAUCACUUGCUUCUUAAGAGACUGACUCCUCACACUAUAGUUACGACUAAUAACAUUCAUUGUCUGCUAUGAAAAAAAUUACGUAAAUAGGAAAACAAAUUAAAUUACAACUCAGUUAAAUAAAAUAUUCCUAAACACUAUAAACAUAAUAAAAAAACUUAAAAGACGAAGGUUGUAUUUUUUGAAUUAACCGCCCAUUACCGGGGAAUUAUGUGCCAGGGUGUUUCUUUACCCAUUCAAGGAAAUUCUGAAAUUUCUUGCGAGAGGAACCACCUUCUCUGAUGCAGUUCAUGGCUUUUCCCUUGAGUUUCAAAGCCCUUGUUUCAAAAUCUUGAUCACCGAGCACUUGCUCCACCUUGUUCUUAAUUUCUUCUCUUCCAAUGAUGCCAUUUUCGUUUUUGUCAAACCUCAAUCCCACCUUCCAAAUAUCACAAAUGUAUCUCUCGUUCAGGAAUUGUUCAGCAAAAUAUGGCCAGCACAAGAAAGGAAUGCCAUUGCUGACACCUUCCAUGGUGGAAUUCCAACCACAAUGGCUCAGGAAACAGGCAAUAGAAGGGUGGUUAAGAACCUUCUGCUGAGGUGCCCAGCCGAUCAUCCGUCCUCGAGCAGCAACUCUCUCUUGAAAUCCUUCUGGGUAUCUAUCAUUUGCAUCGGUGGUAAUAUCUGGCCUCACAACCCAUAAAAAUGGUCUGUUGCAAAAUUCUAGUCCCAAUGCUAAUUCUUGAAAC
Molecule: long non-coding RNA, 6616 nt
Filed under: Citrus sinensis (sweet orange)
Lineage: Eukaryota; Viridiplantae; Streptophyta; Magnoliopsida; Sapindales; Rutaceae
Description: long non-coding RNA (CSIN_LNC001230)
Source: RNAcentral